Molecule: long non-coding RNA, 486 nt
Filed under: Oryzias javanicus (javanese ricefish)
Lineage: Eukaryota; Metazoa; Chordata; Actinopteri; Beloniformes; Adrianichthyidae
Description: lncRNA (ENSOJAG00000017452.1)
Source: RNAcentral
GCCCUUUACAGGCCUGUAAGCGCCAUUGAUGUACAUGUAAGAGGGUAUUAAAGUUUCGCUAUUCAUGUCUUCUGUUGCGGAAGGAGUCUUUGGCAUAACACAGCAGUCACUCUGCUCCACAACCAAGGAAAUCACAUUCCUUCUCACAGACGACUCAAUUUCACACCCUCAGCUGGAUUAAGAGGACUCUCUGCUCCGGGCCUGCACAGGAAAAAAGGACACAAUAGCAUCCACUCCUCUGAAGUGUUGCUGAAAACAUUUUAUCCAUCACAGCCGCUAGCGAGGCCCUCAACUCUGCAAGGAGUGGAAAGCAAUAAGAGGAUGACCCACUUUCUGUGCUUGGCCAGGCUUGUGCUGCUGCUGUCUGCCGUGCUGUGCUGCUAAAGGGGGGAGAUCCCUGCAGACUCCAGGAGAACAGGCUCUCUCCUCCUGACAGACACUCCUCGCCGUGGCGUGUUAUCCCCCCGGUGGACGGGAGACCCUCUG